This 206-nucleotide unclassified non-coding RNA is filed under the name uncultured fungus. RNAcentral's name for it is "sequence contains 18S rRNA gene, ITS1, 5.8S rRNA gene, ITS2". The record is from RNAcentral. Lineage: Eukaryota; Fungi.
GACUCAGAGAGACACUGUAACGAAGAGUCUUUGUUUCUCCGGCAGGCGCCUAACAGGCGGAGGCCCCGCCCUGGGGCCGCCUGCCGAAGCAACUGAACAGGUAUAAUUCACAAAGGUUUGGAGUUUUACAACUCUUUUAAUGAUCCCUCCGCUGGUUCACCAACGGAGACCUUGUUACGACUUUUACUUCCUCUAAAUGACCAAGA